Molecule: transfer RNA, 69 nt
Filed under: Echinorhinus cookei (prickly shark)
Lineage: Eukaryota; Metazoa; Chordata; Chondrichthyes; Echinorhiniformes; Echinorhinidae
Description: tRNA-His
Rfam family: tRNA
About the family: Transfer RNA (tRNA) molecules are approximately 80 nucleotides in length. Their secondary structure includes four short double-helical elements and three loops (D, anti-codon, and T loops).
Source: RNAcentral
GUAAUUAUAGUUUAACAAAAAUAUUAGAUUGUGAUUCUAAAGACAAAAGUUAGAACCUUUUUAAUUACC